Molecule: ribosomal RNA, 492 nt
Filed under: uncultured bacterium
Lineage: Bacteria
Description: partial 16S ribosomal RNA
Rfam family: Bacterial small subunit ribosomal RNA
Source: RNAcentral
AGUGAACGCUGGCGGUAGGCCUAACACAUGCAAGUCGAACGGCAGCACAGUAAGAGCUUGCUCUUACGGGUGGCGAGUGGCGGACGGGUGAGGAAUACAUCGGAAUCUACUUUUUCGUGGGGGAUAUCGUAGGGAAACUUACGCUAAUACCGCAUACGACCUACGGGUGAAAGCAGGGGAUCUUCGGACCUUGCGCGAUUGAAUGAGCCGAUGUCGGAUUAGCUAGUUGGCGGGGUAAAGGCCCACCAAGGCGACGAUCCGUGGCUGGUCUGAGAGGAUGAUCAGCCACACUGGAACUGAGACACGGUCCAGACUCCUACGGGAGGCAGCAGUGGGGAAUAUUGGACAAUGGGCGCAAGCCUGAUCCAGCCAUACCGCGUGGGUGAAGAAGGCCUUCGGGUUGUAAAGCCCUUUUGUUGGGAAAGAAAAGCAGCAGGUUAAUACCCCGCUGUUCUGACGGUACCCAAAGAAUAAGCACCGGCUAACUUCGUG